This 462-nucleotide long non-coding RNA is filed under the name Homo sapiens (human). Its description in RNAcentral is "HSALNT0357708". Lineage: Eukaryota; Metazoa; Chordata; Mammalia; Primates; Hominidae. The record is from RNAcentral.
ACCAGUUUUCUGGAGCGCUGUGUGUUCUUAACAGCUGAGCAGUCUGUUUCUCCAAUCAGGUUUCAAAGCCACUUCAACUGCACUGGCCCCUGUGGGUCACUGCUGCACCGCCCUGACCCAUGUGGGUCCCUGAGGAGCGACCUGCCGGGGCCACCUGGCUGGACGAAAAAGACACACCUUGGACUUAAGCCGUGAGAAAAAAACUUCAUCAGUAAGAAGAAUGAAUAAACAGACUAGGUUGAAUCCAUACAAUGGAAUGUUAGCAGACAAUAAAAAGAAAAUGAACUAUUGAUGUCCCCUACUGCACAGCAGAAGCUCUGAAUCGUGUUCCUGAAUGAAAGAAGUCAGGAGUAAUUUUUAUAUUUUUGAUACCAGUACUUUGUUAGAUAUAAGUUUGAGUACUCAGUCCUUGUAAGAGACAGAAAAGGAGAGACACACACAGAGGAGAAGGCUAUGGGAGGC